UGAUCGCGUAGACCGCCCACGCCGGGGCCGCGUCGAUCCACGACGUCAGCAUGUCGGUCACGAAGUGCAUUGUGUGUUCAACCGCGCAGCGGUCAG
Molecule: transfer RNA, 96 nt
Filed under: Gordonia spumicola
Lineage: Bacteria; Bacillati; Actinomycetota; Actinomycetes; Mycobacteriales; Gordoniaceae
Description: tRNA-Gly
Source: RNAcentral